UACGAAGGGGGGCUAGCGUUGUUCGGAAUUACUGGGCGUAAAGCGCACGUAGGCGGAUUGUUAAGUUAGGGGUGAAAUCCCGGGGCUCAACCCCGGAACUGCCUUUAAUACUGGCAAUCUCGAGUCCGAGAGAGGUGAGUGGAAUUCCGAGUGUAGAGGUGAAAUUCGUAGAUAUUCGGAGGAACACCAGUGGCGAAGGCGGCUCACUGGCUCGGUACUGACGCUGAGGUGCGAAAGCAUGGGGAGCGAACAGG
This 254-nucleotide ribosomal RNA is filed under the name uncultured bacterium. RNAcentral's name for it is "partial 16S ribosomal RNA". It matches the Rfam family "Bacterial small subunit ribosomal RNA", at positions 524 to 776 of the family's 1533-position model. The record is from RNAcentral.